AGAGUUUGAUCAUGGCUCAGAUUGAACGCUGGCGGCAGGCCUAACACAUGCAAGUCGAGCGGCAGCGGGAAAGUAGCUUGCUACUUUUGCCGGCGAGCGGCGGACGGGUGAGUAAUGCCUGGAAAAUUGCCCAGUCGAGGGGGAUAACAGUUGGAAACGACUGCUAAUACCGUAUAAUGUCGCGAGACCAAAGUGUGGGACCUUCGGGCCUUGCGCUAUUGGAUAUGCCCAGGUGGGAUUAGCUAGUUGGUGAGGUAAUGGCUCACCAAGGCGACGAUCCCUAGCUGGUCUGAGAGGAUGAUCAGCCACACUGGAACUGAGACACGGUCCAGACUCCUACGGGAGGCAGCAGUGGGGAAUAUUGCACAAUGGGCGCAAGCCUGAUGCAGCCAUGCCGCGUGUAUGAAGAAGGCCUUCGGGUUGUAAAGCACUUUCAGCGAGGAGGAAAGGUUGAUGCCUAAUACGUAUCAACUGUGACGUUACUCGCAGAAGAAGCACCGGCUAACUCCGUGCCAGCAGCCGCGGUAAUUC
This 531-nucleotide ribosomal RNA is filed under the name uncultured bacterium. Its description in RNAcentral is "bacterial SSU rRNA". It matches the Rfam family "Bacterial small subunit ribosomal RNA", at positions 8 to 526 of the family's 1533-position model. The record is from RNAcentral.